RNAcentral lists this ribosomal RNA (486 nucleotides) under uncultured bacterium. RNAcentral's name for it is "partial 16S ribosomal RNA". It matches the Rfam family "Bacterial small subunit ribosomal RNA", at positions 28 to 523 of the family's 1533-position model. The record is from RNAcentral.
GAUGAACGCUGGCGGCGUGCUUAACACAUGCAAGUCGAACGGAAAGGCCUCAGCUUGCUGGGGUACUCGAGUGGCGAACGGGUGAGUAACACGUGGGUGAUCUGCCCUGCACUUUGGGAUAAGCCCGGGAAACUGGGUCUAAUACCGAAUAUGACCACUUCUUGGGUGUUGUGGGGGAAAGCUUUUGCGGUGUGGGCUGGGCCUGCGGCCUAGCAGCUUGUUGGUGGGGUAAUGGCCUACCAAGGCGGCGACGGGUAUCCGGCCUGAGAGGGUGUACGGACACAUUGGGACUGAGAUACGGCCCAGACUCCUACGGGAGGCAGCAGUGGGGAAUAUUGCACAAUGGGCGCAAGCCUGAUGCAGCGACGCCGCGUGGGGGAUGAAGGCCUUCGGGUUGUAAACUCCUUUCGCUAUCGACGAAGCCACUUGUGGUGACGGUAGGUAGAUAAGAAGCACCGGCUAACUACGUGCCAGCCGCCGCCGUAA